This 377-nucleotide unclassified non-coding RNA is filed under the name soil metagenome. RNAcentral describes it as "partial contains 5.8S ribosomal RNA, internal transcribed spacer 2, and large subunit ribosomal RNA". The stretch from base 1 to 121 matches the Rfam family "5.8S ribosomal RNA", at positions 35 to 154 of the family's 154-position model. The record is from RNAcentral.
GAUGAAGAACGUAGCGAAUUGCGAUAAGUAAUGUGAAUUGCAGAUUUUCAGUGAAUCAUCGAAUCUUUGAACGCAUCUUGCGCUCCUUGGUAUUCUGAGGAGCAUGCCUGUUUGAGUGUCAUUAAAUUCUCAACUACACUGACUUUGAAUUGGUGUGGCUUGGAUUUGGGGGGAAAAUUGUUGUGGGCUUUUUGUAUAGUCUGCUCCCCUGAAAUUGAUUAGCGGUACCUUUGUGGAACUGUCUACAGGUGUGAUAAUUAUCUACAUCUUAGACAUCUGCUGGAAUGCUGCUUUCUAAACCUUACUUGUAUUGACAAUCUUGACCUCAAAUCAGGUAGGACUACCCGCUGAACUUAAGCAUAUCAAUAAGCGGAGGA